GAUGAACGCUAGCGGCAGGCUUAAUACAUGCAAGUCGUGGGGCAACGCAGUGUAGCAAUACAUGGGCGGCGACCGGCAAACGGGUGCGGAACACGUACACAACCUUCCUUUAAGUGGGGAAUAGCCCGGGGAAACCCGGAUUAAUACCCCGUAACAUUAUGAAGUGGCAUCACUUUAUAAUUAUAGCUCCGGCGCUUAAUGAUGGGUGUGCGGCUGAUUAGAUAGUUGGCGGGGUAACGGCCCACCAAGUCUGCGAUCAGUAACUGGUGUGAGAGCACGACCAGUCACACGGGCACUGAGAAACGGGCCCGACUCCUACGGGAGGCAGCAGUAAGGAAUAUUGGUCAAUGGACGCAAGUCUGAACCAGCCAUGCCGCGUGGAGGAUGAAGGUCCUCUGGAUUGUAAACUUCUUUUAUCUGGGACGAAAAAGGGACUUUCUAGUUCAACUGACGGUACCAGAUGAAUAAGCACCGGCUAACUCCGUGCCAGCCGCCGCCGUAA
This 502-nucleotide ribosomal RNA is filed under the name uncultured bacterium. Its description in RNAcentral is "partial 16S ribosomal RNA". It matches the Rfam family "Bacterial small subunit ribosomal RNA", at positions 28 to 523 of the family's 1533-position model. The record is from RNAcentral.